This is a non-coding RNA of Pelobates cultripes (western spadefoot toad), 281 nucleotides long. The record is from the annotation of a GenBank genome assembly. Lineage: Eukaryota; Metazoa; Chordata; Amphibia; Anura; Pelobatidae.
CCCCAUUGGAAUCCAUGGGAAGGUGUGUUUCUUCCCCUCCCCCGUUUCCUGUCUAUUGUUCUCAAGCAGGGAGUUGUCCCAGGGACACUGCCAGACCAGUGGGAACUGGUUUGGGCAGAAAAGCCAUGCUUCCUUGGGUCACAAAGGACUUCUAACUAACUUUUGAACUAAUGGAAGGAUUUGCAUGAUUUUUGGGUAUGUUUGUAUUUGGGAUGUGCUGAUUAAUAAUAUGUGACUUUUAUUAAUAUUGGAUGUAUGGUUUUAGAGUUAUGAAAGUUGGG